GACGGUCUGUGCUUUUCGGCAGGAGUUCAUAUUCCCCGGGGCCUUAUUGAUCCCUAGGGAGCUGUCCCUGUCCGGGCUCGUGGGCCCGGGCACACGGCGCCCACCUACUUUGUAGGUUCCCGGGAUCGCUUCUCCACCGGUUGCCUGGAUCGUCG
Molecule: non-coding RNA, 155 nt
Filed under: Kaistia sp. SCN 65-12
Lineage: Bacteria; Pseudomonadati; Pseudomonadota; Alphaproteobacteria; Hyphomicrobiales; Kaistiaceae
Description: 6S RNA
Rfam family: 6S / SsrS RNA
About the family: E. coli 6S RNA was the first non coding RNA to be sequenced, but its function was unknown until recently. It consists of 184 nucleotides that fold into an extended hairpin structure with a large single-stranded internal bulge.
Source: RNAcentral